AAAAAUAUAGGAUAAAAUAAGAAUAAAUAGAGAUAUAGAGAGAGAAUGAGCGAGGAAGGAGUAAUGACAGAUGGAUAGAAGAGUAGGGAUUCAAAAACCUCAAACAGAACUGUCUUAUGGAGACUAGCAUUAUUGGGACAACGAUGCGCGUAAGGGUGUGUUGGAGUGUUUGAGGAGUGUUAUAGAUCAGGUACCUGGACAGGUUGUGUUUGAGGAGUGUUAUAGAGCAGGCACCUGGACAGGUAGUGUUUGAGGAGUGUUAUAGAUCAGGUACCUGGACAGGUAGUGUUUGAGGAGUGUUAUAGAGCAGGUACCUGGACAGGUAGUGUUUGAGGAGUGUUAUAGAGCAGGUACCUGGACAGGUAGUGUUUGAGGAGUGUUAUAGAGCAGGUACCUGGACAGGUAGUGUUUGAGGAGUGUUAUAGAUCAGGUACCUGGACAGGUAGUGUUUGAGGAGUGUUAUAGAGCAGGUACCUGGACAGGUAGUGUUUGAGGAGUGUUAUAGAGCAGGUACCUGGACAGGUAGUGUUUGAGGAGUGUUAUAGAUCAGGUACCUGGACAGGUAGUGUUUGAGGAGUGUUAUAGAGCAAGGGGGGAUAUAAUCCACAGUAUGAUUAAGUUAUUCAUACCUGUAGGGACCGGGAGUUUGAUGCCCUUCACUAUGGUUAACACCAUGUCACUACCUGUUAGCGAGGGGAUGAACUUACUGGAUAGAAACACAAGGAAUGGGGGGAUGUAGGGUGUGUGUGUGCUCCCAGUGUAUCUAUCAGCCCCUGGACAUUGGCAUGGAUCAGUAAAUCAGUUAAUCAAUAAGAGGGUGGAUGAAAAGACAGGGCGAGUGUGUCUAUGCCUCUGUCUCUGUCAGGGACAGUCAAUGCAGCCAUCUGUCGGCCGUGGACACACACAUGCACACACAAACGUUUCAGGGAAAUCAUUCUUAUUCAAUGCCUGGAACUGGAAAAAGCCAUAGGGUUGUCUGGCUGUACUUACCUCACCUUGCACUAGCAGAAACGAACCCCAGGACUGGACUGAAUGGCUAUAUCACAACACCACCACUAGAGGGCCACAGCUCUGGUCUCUUAAUGCACUUGUAACAAGCCCCUGCACGUGUAGAAGGUGAGUUCCUCUAUGUGUCAUUUGUGACUGGGUGUGUUGUGUGAGGUGUCUGUGUUGGUAGUGUACCUGUAUGUGUUGAAGGUGCGUUCCUCUGUGUAUGGGGGUAACAGGUGUCCUCUACUCUGUACCUGUUUCACUACCUCCAGGUGUCUCCUACACCACUCUGACAGCACCUCCAACCUGUCUAAACAAUACACAUUCUCACAUCAACAGUGUCGUUCUGCGUGUCUGACCUGUCCUAAGGCAGCACAUGUCCACCUGUCUGCUAUCCGUUAUAUAACUUACAUAUCGUUUAUCAAUGCAUAAGAGGUAAUGAAAAGGGCCAGCACAGACCUAGUUGUCUCAGUGAUCUCCCCCAUGUGGGUGAACAGCUGGCACAGACACUUCUGAUGGAGGGAGGAGAGGCACAGAGUCAGUUAGGGUACUGUGAUAACCAGUGUAAUUCAGUG
This is a long non-coding RNA of Oncorhynchus tshawytscha (Chinook salmon), 1565 nucleotides long. The record is from Ensembl. Lineage: Eukaryota; Metazoa; Chordata; Actinopteri; Salmoniformes; Salmonidae.